This is a long non-coding RNA of Lagenorhynchus albirostris (white-beaked dolphin), 7080 nucleotides long. RefSeq lists it as uncharacterized. NCBI's taxonomy places the organism in Eukaryota, Metazoa, Chordata, Mammalia, Artiodactyla, Delphinidae. The record is from RefSeq and is a predicted model, not a curated record. The transcript is spliced from 3 exons.
UUAUGAAUUAAAAAAUUUUAAGGUGAGUGCUUUUGGGGUCCCACCAAUGAAAUCUCUGCCUACCCCAAGGUUAUGAAAAUAUUCUUCAAUUUUUUUCUUCUAGAAGCUUUAUAGUUUCAGCGUUCACAUUUAGGCCCAAGAUCGACCUUGAAUUAGUUUGGGGUAUGGUGUUAGGGAGGGUGUGUUAAGGUUAAUUUUUCCCCUUAUUGUUCUGGCACCAUUAAUUGAAAAAAAUAACAACUUUUACCCUUUGAAUUACAUUGAUGCCCUUGUCAUAAAACACUUAACUGCGUGUGUGGGUCUGUUUCUGCAGUCUCUGCUGUUCCACCGAUCUAUAUCUAUGCUUGUGCCGGUACUACACUGCCUUAAUUACUGUAGUUAGUCUUAGAAUCAAGGAGUGUAAGUCUUCCAACUUUGUUCUUCAAGGUGGGUUAUUUGAGGUCAUUUGCUUUUCCAUAUAACUUUUAUUAUCACCCUGUCUGUUUCUACAAACAAAACCCCAAAACAACUGCUGUGAUUUUGCUUGGAGUGGUGUUGAAUUUCUAGAUCAGUUUAGGGAGAAUUGACAACUUAAUACCCAUAAACAGGGGAUAUCGCUCAAUUUAUUUCCAACUUAAUUUGCUCAGCAUUGUUUUGUAAUUCUGAGAGUAGAAGACUUGUACAUCCUUUGUUAAAUAUAUUCCUAGGUCGGAUGUGUGGUUUUUUCCCACACCACCAAGCAGCUAACUGAAUUAUGACCGUCUCUACCUGGAGGUAAUAUCAGAUCCCACAAGUUAAGGGCUCAGUCCAACAGGACUGCCCCUCUCCCCACACUUCAGACACCAGUCUCAAGUCCAGGCUGCCACCAGUGAUUCUGACUGACUGGCUAUAGAUCUGCAGGUUCCCACAGCCUCUGCCUUGGGUUUGACCUGUUUGCUAGAGCAGUUCACAGAACUCAGAGAAACAUCUUACUUACUGGAUCACUGGUUCAUGAUAAAAGAAUAAGGCUCAGGAACAGCAGGGGGAAGUUGCUUAGGAAAAGUAUGGGGAAAGGGCCCGGAGCUUCCAAGGCCUCUCUAAACACUGCUCUCUUCUCACAUCUCCACGUGUUCACCAACCUGGAAGCUCUCUGAAUCUUUCCAGCCCUGGAGUCCCUCACUCCCGGGAAUGGAGAGCAAACCAACCUUGUGUUUUGGGCAUAAACUUGGUCAUGACACAGAGCUCUUUCAGUAAAUUGCUGUACUGGGCUUCCUAAUGUUUUGUUAAGCAUUUCUGUGUCUGCUUAUGAGAGACACUGGCCUGUAAGCUUCUUGUCUUAUGAUGUCUUUCUCAGGUUUUUGUGUCGAGGCUUUGCUGGCUUCAUGACACAGGCUGGAAAAGGUUUGCUCUUUGUCAUUCUACAGACUUCUGAGGUUGGUAUAGGCUUCUUUAAGGAUUUGGUAGGGUUGACCAGUGAAUCAGCUGGGUCUGGUGUUUUCUCUGUGACAGGGUUUUUUUCUGUUUUUUCUAAGUUUCAUAACUUUGUGUUUAUAAGGGAAUUUGUCCAUUUCAUCUCAGUUGCAGAACUUGUUGGCAUAGAGUUGGUCAUAGUGGAAGUAACGGUACUUUUCACAUCUGUAGGAUCUAUAGUGUGACCUUGUUCUUUCAUCCCUGAUGUGGGGAACUAGGCAUCUUCAUCCAGCUGGCCCCUUUCUCUGGGCGUCUUGGGAACUGUCCUCUUCUGCAUCUCGGGGCUCCGCACUUCACCCAGGAAAGACACAGGCACUCACUGUGGCCGGAGACUUUGGGAUCCUGAGGAGGGUGGUUCUGAACAAACCUGGGGGCAGAAGUAGGGUCUGAGCAGACCACGUCGGCACGGUUUAGGGGAGCUUGCUCUUAUUCCCAGGACUUGGUGAAGAAUAAUGAAGCUCUGGUGGAAGAAUUUGAUUUGGGGGAAAGUGCCCGAGAACGUUCAUGUGUGCACUGCUGCGGGCAUGGGCCAGCCUGCUCCUGUCUCCUGGGGAAGCACACAGGGUGGGGUUUAGCCCCCAACUGUCCAAUCACUUGUCUGCGGCUAAGCUGCUGGGUUUCAGCCAUAAAUGAUGGUCUCGCCACCAUUUGGUGACAGCCUGUGGCUUGCUCUCUGGAAUGUCAGGGUCCAUGUGUAUGGGGGUGGGGGACCCAGGGCACUUACAGUGAUACUGGCCCCCACCUGACCCCCAAAUUCCCCUUCCAUUAUGGAGCGUGCAUGGGCUUGUGUCACUGGUUUUCCUGAAUCUCCCUUGGUGCACUGAGAAGGUUCAGGGCUCUUGGGGUCAGGUGGGGGCUUCAGGGCUGCAGCUCUCACUUUCUUUGUCUCACAGAUCAGCCCUCAGCACCUGCCUUUCCCCAGAGGGGCCCACACGUCUCCCCAAAGGCCUCUGCUGUUCCCACGGAUGUGUCCCCGGUGAGCACCACCUCCCUGGGCCCUGCAGGCUGACCAGGACCCCAGCCCCCAGCCCACCCGUGGGAGUGGUCCACCAUGGGGGCUCCAGAGGUCUGUGCCUGCCUGCCUGCCUGCCAGCUCUGUCUUACGGAGUGGGGGGAGAUGUGAUUCAGUUACAUUAAGACCAUAGUGGGUGUUACAGAAAACAUGGAAAUGCACUUGCUUCUCUAGGUGCUUAGUCUGCUGAAGCUGCCGUAACUCAGCACACACGCAUUUAUUGGUUGAUUUCUCACAGUCUGGAGGCUGGAAGUCCCAGAUCAGGGUGCUGGCAUGGUUGGUUCUGGUGAGGGCCCGCUUCCUGGCUUGUAGAAGGAGAGAGAGAGGAAGAGGGUGCAAGAGUGCUCUGGUGUCUCUUCUUACGAGGACCCUAGUCCUAUCGGAUCAGGGCCCCACCCGAUGACCUUUUUUAACCUUAAAUACUUCCCUAGAGGCCCCACCUUCAAAUGCAGCCGUACUAGGAGUUAGGGCUUCCGCAGAUGAAUCUGAGGGACACAGACAUUCAGUCCAUGACAGGAGCCUUCCCUUGAGCCUCAGCUUCAGGCCUCUUGAGGUUUCUUCUCCUUUGAGACCCCCUGGCCCCCCGCCUUUUCUUCCAGACACGUGCAUUUCAGCUUCUCUCCAUUUACUGUCCUGCAGCCUCAGGAGCGGCCAUGUCUGACGUCCUGCUCCUGGCGGGAGCUGUUUGUGUUGCAGGUGGCCAUGCACUCCUCAAGGGAAGAGUGGUGGCGGUGUGCGGACCCUGGCCAGAGGGUGCUGGGCCGGGGUGUGAUGCCGGCAGUUUCAGGGGCUCGGCUGAAUUCAGCCUGCAGAGCCCAUCCAGUCCCUCGAUGGCGCCAGGGCCUCGAGUUCAGGCUAAGGGGGUGUGGGAGCUCGAGCUCUUGUCCUGUGUCUGUGGAGGGGCCGUCCUGCACCAAGUCUGGCCAAGGGCAUUCUUCGUGCUGCCCUGGAGGCAGCCCACUCUUCCUUCCUCAGCCCCGUCCACUGUUAGACCUGGCCCCGCCGCCAAGGAGGGUGGGGAGAGCCUGUCACGGUUUGGCCCUGGCUCCCUCCUCCCUGUCUGUCCUCUCUGCUUUGGGGUGGCUUCCUGGACGUUGCCCCAAGGGCUGGCCUGCAGCCUCGCUUUGUCUUCUAUACAGAAAACCACACCUUUUCUCUCCUUGGAGGAUUUCGAGGCCCCAUACCUGGCCGCAUCUCUCGCCUGGAACACUGGGGUGAGCCGCGGGUUGUGGGGAGGGAGAGACCCGCAUUUCAGGAAGUGCGGAGGGGUCCCCAGGGUCUCCCUCUGCUCCCAGGGGAGAUCAGCGCCCAGCACCCACCGAUGACGUUCUCCCCUCCCACUGGGACCGUGGGCAGGAGAUGCUGUCUGACCGGACCCUGGAAACCCAGGCUGGCGCCCCGCCCCUGCACGGAGCGCUGCUCUGCUGCGUGCCGAGCCGGCGGGCGCCGUGGGUGUGCACGGCGGGGGGCCUGAGAGGGUGUGGGUGCUCCAACCUCGCGGCCGCCCCAGCAGGCGCACGCCCGGCAUGAGGUCUCGGGCCUGACAGCCCUGCUCUGAGGGGCUUCGUGUGUGGCCGCGGGCAGAUUCCCUCAGAAGUGAGAUCGAGCAGACGUGUGGGAAUGAGACCAGCCGGGCAGACACUGGGCUGUGUGGAGCCCCAAGACAGAGAGGGUCUCGGGUGCCAGGUUGGAGGGAAGCCGAGGGUGAGUGGUUCAGAAGGAUGUGGGUCCCUGUCCCCGGCACCCUCCCCCAACCCAGGAGCGGGGGGCUGGUUAGGGGAACCGAGAGCACAGUCUCUAUCCUGACUGGUGUCUUUGUUCCUGUGUAAACACAAGUAUGUAAGGUGCUACCCGGCUCUUUAGGUGACCGCCCAGCGUUACAGCCCUCCCUCCUACGGGUGACACCAGCGUUGACCUAACUGGCCUCAUCCGGGUGAGCGUUUGAGUUCAUUUUCAGCUUUCCACCAUUUAUAGUUUCAGCUCGUCUGUGUGCUCCUUUCUCACUGCUGGGCCACUUUCUUGGAGUGAAUCCUUAAUUAGGUGGGAGUGAGCUGAUAAGACAGUUGUGUGGAUUUUCUCCUGUCUCGCUGCCAGCCUGUGUAAGUGCCUGUUUCCUCCACCGGGCAAGGGAGGCCCUUUACCAGUGGAGACACUGUAAUCGCUUCUGGCAGCCCUCGAGCCAGGGGUGGGGUGGGCAGUGGCUUUGCCUUUGAGCAUUUCCAGUGUGGCCGGACCUUCAGGCGGGUCCCGGACCUUCUGCGACACCAGAGGAACUACAGAAAAGAGCAGCCCUUCGGCUGCGAGGUGUGCGGACAGGCCUUCAGCCUGAGAGGCCGCCUGGGCCCGCAUCGCCAGGUCUGCUUGGAGCGCGAGCCUCACCGCGUGGCGACGGCGGGAAGGCCUCCCUGUGCGGCAAGGCUCUGCGGGCCCGAGGGCCUCAGCACCCGCCGGAGCCGCUGCGGGAAGGGCGUCCACCAUCUGGGCUUCCUGACGAGGCAUCAGGGGACCCACAGGCGCGGGGAAGUGGAGGUGUGCGUGGGGGUCCUCUGGCCAUGUUCACAUCGGGGAGACUUGCGGGGAGAGGCGACUCUUUGUUCCAGACUCCAGGCGUCUUUGCUUGCCCAGCCCCGAAGUAAAAACCUGCAGAGUGGGCUUCUCUAGGGCACCGGCUCGCACUUGGAGACUUGGUCACUGGGCAGGACACCUGUCCCUCUUGCUCGUGGGAACGCUAUUUCAGGUUAUCCAAAGGCUUGGUGAAGGAUUUUAAUUUUUGUCUGAAUUCCAGAGAGAAAAACAUGGGGGGCCGUGAGGAGCUAGCAGAGCCCCAGAGGCAUUGCACUGAGGGACCACCUGACCCCGAUUUGAGCAAACCAGUUGUAAAAAGGCUUUUUUGAGACAAUCCUGGAAAUUUGAACAUGGAUUGGGUAUUAGGUGGUAUUAAGGAGUUUGCUGUGAUAAUGACAGUGUGGUUCUGUUUUUAAAAGUCCUUAAGAAGGAUGCAUUCUGACAAAUUUAUGGGUGAAAUGGCAUAAUGUAUGGGAUUUGCUUUAAAAUUCUAAUAAAAAGAAGAAAGACAAAACAGUAUUGGCAAAAUGAGUUGUUGAAGCUAAGUGAUGAGUAUGUUUGGAACUUCCCUACAUUUUUUUUCUCAUUUUACGGGAUAUUUAUAUUCUAAGUUCAUUAAUACAUACUGAAAAUAGCCAUUAAGUUAUCAAGUUACGAAGCUGUGUCAGUCUGCUCGGGCUGCCAUAGCAACACACCACAGACCAGGAGGCUGACACAGUGGAAGUUUAUUUCUCACAGUUCUGGAGGCUGGAAGUCGGAGAUCAGGUGGCCGGUUCUGACAAGGACCCACCUCCCGGCUUGCAGACGGCGCCUCCGCACUGUGUGCUCACGUUGGGAAGGGAGAGCGCGCGCUGGUGUCUCUUCCUUUUAUAAGGGCUCUAAUCCCAUGACGGGGCCCCACCCGACAACCUCAUCUCACCUCAUCACCUCCCAGAGGCCCCACCUCUAAACGGGACCACACUGGGGUUAGGGUUUCAACACGGGAUUCGGGACAGGGGAUACAAUUCAGUUUAUAGCAGAAGCUUCUCUGGGUCAGUCCUGCCCACAGCCCAGCUGGGGAAGGGCCUUGCUGCUUCAGGGUGGCCCCAUCAUGGCCAGUGAGGCCUUAAGGGCGCGGGGCCCAUGGCCCUCUGGAAUAGAUAGAAAUGUGCCCUUUGGAACAUCCGAGUGGCUUUUCUUAUUUAUAAAAUCCAAACUUUUGUGCCAGUGCUUAUAUUUUCCUUCCAGCUCAGAGCUGUGGGCAGGGAAGUGCCUGGUUUGCUCCCACCCCACGUGUGGAGUGGUGGAGGCCUUCAGGUGGCCUUGGAGUGCAAGCCGGGAUGGCCUGUCUUGGGUCUUUGGGCUCGUCCUGCAGCCCAGCUGGCCGUGCGUCCAGGUCGCCUGUUUCUGGCUUUUCCUCCUUUGUGAUGCUUCACCUCGUGCCGCCAUCGUGUGGAAUUAAGUGUGGACAACACAGAACUGUGCCAUUAGCUACGCUCCAUCUGAUGACGAUUAUCGAGUGAUACCAGUGGCUGCCCAACAGGGGGCACGUCCGGCUCCCCUGGCUGGCUGGCUUGUCCCAGCCUGCAGUUUCCUCUGUGCCCGGCUGGGCAGGCCCUGCUGGCGAACGCUUUGAGGGAGUGGCAGCGGGCAGACGGCAGGGACGCAGCUGCCUCCUUGUGUCCUGUGCACGGCUCCCUGCGAACCCUCUGCUGGAUGCGGCACCCUGGGGGGAGAAGCGUGGUGGUGAAGGCGCAGUAAGCGUCGUGACACGUGUCCCCCGGGAGGCCACCUCCUGAGCUGAUGUCUGCAUGCACGGGCUGUAUCGGUCUCCUGGGACGGCCGUGACAAAGUGCCACAAUCUGGGUGGCUGAAGACAACAGAACUUACUGUCUCAGCUCUACAGGCCAGAGUGUGAGGUCAAGGCACCAGCCGGGCCGUGCUGCCUCUGAAGCCUCCCUCUCUCCAGCUUCUCAUGGCGCCGGCCAUCCUUGGCACCCCUUGGCUUGGGGCCACAGGGCUCCAGCCUCGGCUCUGCUGACACAGGUGUGGUCCUCUGUGUCUCUGUCUUCUUUUUUUUUUUUUUUAAUAAUUAA